RNAcentral lists this non-coding RNA (28 nucleotides) under Bombyx mori (domestic silkworm). The record is from RNAcentral. Lineage: Eukaryota; Metazoa; Arthropoda; Insecta; Lepidoptera; Bombycidae.
UUCUACAUGAACAGGGUCCACGGAUUGA